Molecule: non-coding RNA, 408 nt
Organism: Salmo salar (Atlantic salmon)
Lineage: Eukaryota; Metazoa; Chordata; Actinopteri; Salmoniformes; Salmonidae
Source: RefSeq, a predicted model, not a curated record
AUCUAGUAUAGACUGAACAGGCUGUGUCCCACUCUGGGAAGGUGAUAUAUCUAGUAUAGACUGAACAGGCUGUAUCCCACUCUGGGACUAUAGUGUAAUAAUUGUACUGUGAAAUAUUGUCCAUAACCAUAUUGUAUUUUUAGCUGUUUGAAGCUGGUGUACAAAAGUAAAAGACACAAAAAUCAAAUUCAAGACCGGGUAGCAUAGAAAAUAACAGAUCUAUAACUUAUAAUUCUAUGUGUAUUUGGUCAGGUCGCCCAAAAAGUUACAUAUUGCAGCUUAAAGCACUCAAUGGAUGAUGUAGUGCACAAGAAGCAGAAUGGAUGACGUAGUGCACAAAAAAAAACAGAAUGGAUGACGUAGUGCACAAAAAAACAGAAUGGAUGACGUAGUGCACAAAAAACAAAA